UAUCGGCCUGCAGGCACUAUUGGCGACCUUCUGUUUAUUUGUUGGAUGAGAAGAUCUAGAUCACAAUAAAAUCAUGACAGAGAAUACUGAAAUUGAUGACCGCGUGGAUCUUGAUGACGAAAAUUACUCUGAGGAAGAUGAAGAUCCAGAAUUGAUAGAAGAUGACGGAGCUGGAGAAGACGGCGAUGAAAACGGUGAAGAGCAAUCAUAUGAUUCCGGAGGUGGGGAUAGUGGGAGAGCAGAGUCUCCAGAAGCAGAUCGAGGAAGAUGAAGAUCCAGAACUGAUAGAAGAUGACGGAGCUGGAGAAGACGGCGAUGAAAACGGUGAAGAGCAAUCAUAUGAUUCCGGAGGUGGGGAUAGUGGGAGAGCAGAGUCUCCAGAAGCAGAUAUGCGUGACGUUC
Molecule: long non-coding RNA, 402 nt
Filed under: Nicotiana benthamiana
Lineage: Eukaryota; Viridiplantae; Streptophyta; Magnoliopsida; Solanales; Solanaceae
Description: long non-coding RNA (NBEN_LNC038429)
Source: RNAcentral